CAUUGGAUUAGAUAUUGAAUAAGUCUAUAUUUAACUUUUUUUUAUGUUAUUUUCUUUUUUAAACAUGUAUCGAAUAAAGCUUGGUGUCAUUGAUGAUUCUGAUUGUGCAUGUUAUGUAGUCUUUGACAAGGAGGCAAAACAAGUUUUGGGAAAGAGCUGUGUAGAGAUACUUGAUCCACUCCUAUUGGAUGUUGACUACACCGAUGGUUUGCUUCCAAUUUCAAAGACAUCCUCAAUCAUUGAAGGGGAGAAAGUAGAAGGUGCUAAAAAUUUGUUGCUUGAAUU
Arachis ipaensis is the source of this 285-nucleotide non-coding RNA. The record is from RefSeq and is a predicted model, not a curated record. NCBI's taxonomy places the organism in Eukaryota, Viridiplantae, Streptophyta, Magnoliopsida, Fabales, Fabaceae.